GCCCGCUUGGCACAGCGGUAAUGCGCCUCACUAGUAUCUGUAGAUCCUACUGAGCUUUCGCAAUGAGGAGAUGACUGGUUCGACUCCAGUAGUGGGCA
This 98-nucleotide transfer RNA is filed under the name Hypoxylon sp. FL1150. RNAcentral's name for it is "tRNA-Thr". It matches the Rfam family "tRNA". From Rfam's summary of the family: Transfer RNA (tRNA) molecules are approximately 80 nucleotides in length. Their secondary structure includes four short double-helical elements and three loops (D, anti-codon, and T loops). The record is from RNAcentral. Lineage: Eukaryota; Fungi; Ascomycota; Sordariomycetes; Xylariales; Hypoxylaceae.